Molecule: transfer RNA, 87 nt
Filed under: Thermococcus camini
Lineage: Archaea; Methanobacteriati; Methanobacteriota; Thermococci; Thermococcales; Thermococcaceae
Description: Thermococcus sp. IRI35c Pseudo tRNA
Source: RNAcentral
GCGGGUUUGCUGAUUUGGGGAUGAGCCUUUGGAGCUCUGACCCGGAGAAACCCGCGGACCGGGGUUCAAAUCCCCGUGCCCCCACCA